This 327-nucleotide ribosomal RNA is filed under the name uncultured bacterium. RNAcentral's name for it is "bacterial SSU rRNA". It matches the Rfam family "Bacterial small subunit ribosomal RNA", at positions 28 to 352 of the family's 1533-position model. The record is from RNAcentral.
GAUGAACGCUAGCGGCAGGCCUAAUACAUGCAAGUCGAACGGUAACAUGAGUAGCAAUACUUGAUGACGAGUGGCGCACGGGUGCGUAACGCGUAUGCAAUCUACCUUUAACUGGUGAAUAGCCCGAAGAAAUUCGGAUUAAUACACCAUAGUAUAUUAGAGUAGCAUUACUUUAAUAUUAAAACUACGGUGGUUAAAGAUGAGCAUGCGUGACAUUAGCUAGUUGGUGAGGUAACGGCUCACCAAGGCUACGAUGUCUAGGGGAUCUGAGAGGAUUAACCCCCACACUGGUACUGAGACGAGGGACAGACUCCGUACGGAGGCAGC